This 10065-nucleotide long non-coding RNA is filed under the name Medicago truncatula (barrel medic). RNAcentral describes it as "long non-coding RNA (MTRU_LNC001332)". Lineage: Eukaryota; Viridiplantae; Streptophyta; Magnoliopsida; Fabales; Fabaceae. The record is from RNAcentral.
AAGAUGUCAAAGACUUUGAACCAAGGUCCAACAUUUCAGCUUAUGGAGACAAUGACAUUGAUGUAAAAGAAAAGAAUGGAGCCAUUAAAGAUUUUGAACCUAGACCUAAUAUUUCAGCUUAUGGAGAAAAUGUCAUUGAUGCUGAUGAAAAGAAGAAACCAGUCAAAGAUUUUGAACCAAGACCCAAUAUUUCAGCUUAUGGAGACAAUGACAUUGAUGUUAAGGAAAAUAAGGGAGCCACCAACGAUUUUGAGCCAAGACCCAACAUUUCAGCUUAUGGAGACAAUGUCAUUGAUGAUAAUAAAAUGAAGAAACCAGUUGAAUAUUUCCAACCAAGACCAAACAUUUCAGCUUAUGGAGAAAAUGACAUUGAUGUUAAAAAAAGUAAAGAUUUUGAACCAAGACCCAACAUUUCAGCUUUUGGAGACAAUGACAUUGAUGUUAAUGAAAAGAAGGGAGAUACUAAAGAUUUCGAACCAAGACCAAAUAUUUCAGCUUAUGGAGACAAUGCCAUUGAUGAUGAUGAAAUGAAGAAACCAAUUAAAGAUUUUAAACCAAAACCAAACAUUUCGGCUUAUGGAGACAAUGUCAUUGAUGCUGAUGAAAUGAAGAAACCAGUCGAAGGUUUUGAACCAAGACCAAACAUUUCAACUUAUGGAGACAAUGUCAUUGAUGUUGAUGAAAUGAAGAAACAACAAGUCAAAGAUUUUGAACCAAGAACCAACAUUUCAGCUUAUGGAGACAAUGACAUUGAUGUUAAAGAAAAGAAGGGAGUCACCAACGAUUUUGAGCCAAGACCCAACAUUUCAGCUUAUGGAGACAAUGUCAUUGAUGCUAAUAAAAUGAAGAAACCAGUUGACGAUUUCCAACCAAGACCAACUAUUUCAGCUUAUGGAGACAAUGCCAUUGAUAAUAGUAAAACGAAUGAAGUCAUCAAAGAUUUUGAAUCAAGACCCAACAUUUCAGCUUACGGUAACAAUGAAGUUGACACUAAGAAAAAAGAAAAAGCUGCCAAAGAUUUUGAACAAAGACCCAUUAUUUCAGCUUAGGAAGACAACAUCAUUGAUGCUGAGAAAGAUGACGAGUUCACAAAGGAUUUUGAACGCAUGCCAAGAGUCACUAAAUAUGAUGCAUAACUUUAAUAAUUAAAAUAAAAUGCUAUUUCAAUUUCUGAUGUAAUACACUUAAUAAGUCAUUGCUACUUUAUGUUCAAUGAUAUUUAGUAUAUGUAUUAUGCAUUAAGCUUUUUGAAUGAAGGAACUUCUCCUUGUUUACUGAUGACAGUCAGUCAUUCACUAUUUUUAGAGUCUUUUUAUGAUAUUUUUGAGUUCACAAGCAAUCUUAAGCAACAAGAAAAGAAAGAAAAGUAAGAAAAAACUGAAGAAACUGAAAAGUGGGCAUCGUGUCACGAUUACUAAAAAGCGUGUCACGAUUUGGAACAUAGGAUGAGUUCAUUCAAGAUUGGUUAAAACGUGUCACGAUGGCUAUUUCGUGACACGAUUUUAAGAACAUGUGGCAAGAGAAAAUAUGAUCAAAAAGAGCAAAACAGGAGGUGUCAAGAAGUAAUGGAAUUAAGAAUUCCUAUUAAUUAAUGGGCUAUGUUGAUCCAAGAGGAGAAAAACGUGAUUAAUUGGAAAGGCAGCUGGGUUAGAUGAACCUAUAUAAAGAAGCAACAAGAGAGCUGCAAAUUAUCUUUCAAAAAAAAAAGAGAGAGCUGCAAAUUAUUCAAGAUGGUGACAUCACGGUUACGGCAAGAAUCACGUUUGGCACUUGUUGGAGAAGAAAAACGGGAACAAGCAUAUCACUAAGGAAGCAACAACGGCAAUUGAAAGAAAAUUGAGGAGCACUGUCGACAACGACUAAACUUUAUUGGUUUAAUUUCUUCUUUAUGUUGUUUGCUUAUUUGAUUAUGUCUAGCUAAACAUGGUUAGUCUAGGAAUGUAUAAUCCUUUACUAGUGAUAUUAGGUUAACGUGCUUAAAACCUUCAAAGAAUAUUAGCUCACCUAAGGAAUUAGGGACUGUAAUAUGAGAAGAGGGUCCUAACUCAAGGGAUGAAUUAUGACUAUUUUGUUAACUAUCGUGGAACUAGAAAAUCAUUCAUAAGAAUAGGUGCAGUAUACCCAUUUGGGGAACAUUGAUGACUCGAAAGACCUAGUCUCAUCUCUCCAUAUAUAGUUUCCAAAACUAUCUUUAUUUUCUGUUUAUUUAAUUUUAUGCAAUCAAAUCAAAUCUACAAACAAAAUAAUUUUUACAUCCUAAAUAUUUACUUUAUUGCUAAAUUGAGAUUAAUACAUUCUUCGUAGAUACGAACUUAUUUUAUUACUUCGAUGCAUGUUUAAUACACUUGCUAAAAGUCUAUCAUUUACCAAGAAUAGGAUAUAGUCUUGGUGAUUACAAGAAUGUUUCUUCGACAUUAAUAACUUCCUUGGCAGAUGUUAAAAUAUGGCGAUAUUUCCUUUAGAUCAAUCGAUCCUUCUUUUUGAAAUUAACCUGCACCGGCCCUUGUAUGUGUUUCAUGCUUCAUGUGCUUGAGCAUAUCACUCUAGUGUUUCCAGUUCCCACCAUUAAUGUCUAUCUUGUUUCCUAUUAUAUAACAACUACAAAAGAAAAAUUAUCUACAUCUAAAGGACUUUGCAUGUCAAGAAGAUACUCAAUCAUACACAAAAUUGUUAACGAAGUUUGAACAAUUUAAAAGAAAAUGUAACAAAAACGAAAAUGAAUUGAGGAAAACAUCUAGCUCGUAGGCCCACAGUUUUAAUUGCAUAUGUAUGUUACCCACGACGUAAACUUCUAUGGCUGAAGGAGUAUUUUUUUUACCAGAACUAUGGCUAAAGGUUAACGUGGGUAUGUGGCAAUUUUCUAGCAGAGCUUGUAUUAUUGCAUUAUCGUAGAACUACUAAUUUUUACUCCAAACACUCGGACAUUUUAUUGACGAGAAUUAAAAUUAGAGGUGGGAAGUUCCCGCGAGAAUGCAUAGUUUAGCUGGCAGGGACAAUACAUUAUUAUUAUAUAUAGAGAUUGAGGUUUGAAUCCCGAACACUCCACUUAUUCAUCUUAAAAAUGAAUUCUAACCAACUACAUCAAAACAACUCAAAUGACAAAGAAUGCAAGCCGUUUGCUAAUAAGUCUUAAAAUUUAUCUUUUUUUUUAAGUAAGUCUUAAAAUUUGAGCUACAACCAUUGAAAAUAAUUUAUAGCUAACAUUACUAUAUAGCGAUGAGGCUAAAUCGUUUCACUUUGAAACGAGCUUCAGCCUUAAGAUGAGAGCGGUUAGGGUUAUGUUUAUGUCAUUGAUCUUUUCCAGAUUUGAGAAACACCCCCGAGCCAAAUUUCAAGUAGGAAAAUCCAAAGUGUUAAAGUUGCUUUUGAAUAAAAUAGAUGAAAUCAUUUGGGCAUGGAGACUUAUAAAUUACCCAUAGUUCAACAAAAGCAACCUGAACCUCAAUGAGGUUACCUCAUUAUCCGUCACCGAUCAUCAACAUAGUUCUAUCAUGCUGAAUAUGCUAAGAUAAUUAUUAUUGGUCCCUUAGUAAAUGGAAACAAACUUUUUUUAAUCACCCUCUUCAUAAAUCUAAGAAUCCUUGGCUCUGUUCGGUAAAAAUAAGCUAUAAGCUAGCUGAUAGCUGAUAAGUUAGCUGAUAGCUGAUGAGUGAUAACUGAUAGCUGAUAGCUGAAAAGCUUGCUUAAUAAAAAUAAUGUGUUUGGUAAAAUUAGUUGUUGAAGUGGCUGAUAAAUAUAAAAUGACAUUUUUUUUUUUAAUAUACAUAUAAACACACAUUUUUUUGUAAUGUAUUUAUUUUUUAAUAUUUUUAAUUAUAGUUAAAUAUGUUUUUGGUCCCUAUAAAUAUUCAAAUUUUUGGUCUUAGUCUCCAUAAAAAAAUUCUUCGACCUUUAGUCCUAAAAAAAAAAUCACUGACAAUUUUGAUCUCUGCUUUAUGUAUCCCAAAAUUAAGAGAAAGGUGGAAACAAAAAGUGAGUUAGAAUAUAUAAAAUUUUACAACGUACAAAAGACUAGUUAUUUUUUCCUUUAAAAAAAAUAGGCUAGUUAUUUUUUUUGUGGUGUACGGCAGGUUAGUUAUAGCAAAAUAUAAAGCAUUUCCUUAAAAUAUAUAUAUAUAUAUAUAUAUAUAUAUAUAUAUAUAUAUAUAUAUAUAUAUAUAAAGUGCUCCUUAAAAAAAAAACUAUGUUGCAUUUUUUUUAAGGGAAAAAAUGGGGCGGUUAUAAAGAUGAACAUGAGUAGUUGUUUAAUUAAAAAAAUAAUUAAUUUAAAUUAAUAGGGUUAAAGUUGGAAGAAAAUAUAAAAAGCUACCAGCUAUAAGCUAAAAAGCUACUUGAAAUAGCUUUUCAAAAAACGCUAUAAGCUCAUGAAAAAAGCUUGUUACCAAACACGUCACGUUUUCAUCUAACGAGCUUAUAAGAUAAUCCAACAAACUAUAAGUUAACUUUUUUGUGUUACCAAACAUAACCCUUCUGUUUUUGGAGAGUAACAAUCCUAUUGUAACGUUUUUACUUGAGCGUUAAGAGAUGGAAGAACAGGGUAUUCAGAUCACCUUGGUUCCCCCUAACUUAUAGCGACACUGUCGGUAUCAGUAGUUGUCAUCAAAUUUGAUAAGCCAAGCCACCUUUAAUCCGCUCAAGUUAUUAAUCAUUCAAAGGCAUUUUCGGAAUUAAUCUUAAGCAGUUCAAGUUAGAAAUGAUUUGUUUAUUUAUGCGUUGGAGUCUAACAUGUCAAAUAUUAAAAUCACAACAUAUAAAUAAAAGCAUAAAUUUUAUUCUUAUCAAUGUUUAAUUUAAAUAUGUCUUCAAUGGCGUACCCUUCUCCCACAAAGACGCAUUUUUAGUAAUGAUGUUGAAAUCAACUUCUAUAGAUUGAGUAAACUCUGCAUUAUUUAAAAGAAAAUUUGAAACAAGAUUUUUUCAAAUUUAUGGAGUGUGCAUCACAUCCUCCUUCAGUAUUAGAGUCUUUCUGGAGAUGAACUUCAUCAUAUUAGUUUAAGUAACACAUGGAUCAAAUAAUCUUGAAACUUAAGUUGGAGUGCGCAAGCGGAUAAGGCUGGUUUUUUGUUUUGUUGCUUAAUAGCAGUUUUAGUCCCCUAACUUUUCUAAAGUUACGAUUUUGAUCCCUUAAGAAAAAGAACUACAAAACUGUCCCCUAAGUUUUGCAUAUGUGGCAGUUUUGACCCCCAAGGUCAAUUUUGACUCGGUCUACGCUCACGUGGCACCUUAAGUGAGGCGCCGCGUGUUAUUUUUCUUUACCAAAAAGUGCUAUUGGGGGGCCAAAACUGCCAGAGUUGCAAAACUUAGGGGCCGGUUUUGUAGUUUUUUUUUCUUAGGGGGCCAAUAUCGCAAAUUCGUGAAAGUUAGGGAGCGAAACUGCUAUUAAGCCUUUCUUUUAAUUGUUAGUUGGAUAAGAUUUAAACGAAACUUGUUCGUUAAGAAAAGCACUACCGGAUAAUGAUAAAAUUUAUUAAUUUAACAUUUUCGAAUGAUAAAAAAAACUUUGGCCUAAGCCCAACCCUAUGGCGUCACCGCAUAUGUGAUAUAUAUUUUCUUGAGCACUCUCGGUUCACAAAAAUGAGUAUCCAAGGCACACUCGUGAGAGUGAUUCUCCUUUUUUACUCAAAAAAAAAAAAAGAAAGAAAGAGUGAUUCUCCUUUUAAACAAACAUUAUUAAUGUGUUUCUUCUUAAAAAUUAAAAGUAAUGCACACAUUUCAAUACUUCCUCCGUCCUAAAUUAUAAGCAAAAAAAAAAAAAAUCACAUUUAUUAAGAAAACUAAAACAUAAGAAUUUGAAGUAUAAUUUUUUGUGUUUUCUUUAAAAAAAAAUUAUAGGAAGAUGUAAAAACAAUUUUCGUUGGCUAUUGGUUAUGGAAAAAGUGAAAGAGAGAGAAAAUUGAAUGUAAUUUGCGUUUAAUUUUAUGAGAAUAAACAAAAGUUUUUCUUGGGAAAAAGAUUUAAAAAAAAAGAUUAAAUAAGAUAAAAAUUUAUCUUUUUUGCUUAUAUUUUAGGACAAAGAAAAUGAGUUUUUUUGCUUAUAUUAUGAGACGGGGGGAAUAUAUGACACUUUUACCGUUUUCAAUUCACACCAUGCUAAUCCUAUCAAAUGUGAGACUUGUGUUUAUUUCAAUCUUCAUUCGUGAUUAAAUAGAAACUAACCAAUUAGAAUAUUGACAUUAGUAAGUACUCUAUGAAUACAAUAUUUAAAAGGAUACUGUUAACUUGUGCCCAUAGAGUAUAUGUUAAUAAACUUAAAAGAAGAAACUUUCUCUAAAAUUUUAUACAUUCAAUUAAUUAAAAAUUAAAAGUAAUGCACACAUUACAAUAAACUAUUUUUAUAUUUAAUUUUCCUAUUUAAAAAAGAUGCAAGAUGCACGUGAUAAGCACCAGACAAGUAUCAAUUUCAAAUCUCAAUAAUAAUCAAAGUGGAGGUGGUUUUCCUUAAAAAAAAAAAAAAAAGUAAGAGGAGGUGGUUGAAGCAAAAUUAACCCGGAUUUGCCCAGCUGUCAUUCCUAGGACGCACCUACAAUCUUAAAACCAAAAUGCUGGUCUAAUAUUAAGCAGUUAUAUUUAAAUGUUUUAAUUUUUUUACACUCAUUCAACACUUAAUUUUCAGAAUUUUUUUAUUUUUAUCUAAAAAAUUGUUUUUUGUUUAUAAGAGGGAAGAGAAAUAUAUAUUUUAAGAUAAAAGAAGAGGUAAAAGAAAAGUGUAAUUUCCUCAAAUUCUUAAUAUUAAUUUAAUAUUAAUAAUAGACACACGUGGUCACGUGCUAUCUACCAUGAUUGCUGAUUUUUUAUUUUUUUUUAGAGGAUGAUUGCUGAUCUUCUAGCUAUAAAUAGGUGAUUUAUUAGUUAUAGGAAUCAUCCACUUCCAUCGAAAUAUAAAAUCAGUGGCUUUUAAUAUCAAAGAUGAGACCUGCUCUUGCUUUAUUUCCCCUCUUGCUUUUCUUGGUAUGUUUUACUUUUCGUGGUUUCAAUUAGUAGAGUGCACUCUAAAUUCUAAUGCUUCAAAAUAAAAAAAACCUCUGAUAUUUUACAUUUAAUUGAACAAUUAUUUUCUUGUUGGAAAGUUUUUGUCUUUUCUUCCGGAUACUGAAAGUUAAUCGAUUAGUACUUCUUAGAGUAAUUUUAUGGAAAAUAUAAGUUAUUUCGUGUUUAUUUAUAUCCAUAAAAUCAUUUUUAAAUCUUCUUUAUCAUUUAUGAUUUCGUUAUAAUCACUGACGUCAAAAUUAUUGUCUGCCUUUCUGCUAUCGUAUUGCACUCAAUUGUUUGUUUAUUUCAUCUUAUUUUGUUAUUAAAUUUCAAUAAUAUAUCCCAAUCAGAUAAAGAUUUUAGGUUUAUUGAUGUGUUUAGCCCUUGCAAUUAGGCGGCAUUUAAAAAUUCGUCCCUGUAAUUGUUAAUCCUGGCAUUUUAACCCUGCAAUUGUUAAUCAUUUAAAAUUUCGUCCCUCUCCCCACUUAAUCACUGCCACGCCACAUGAAAUUCCAAAUUUACCCCUGGGUUUCCAAUUCUUUCUUCAAUAUUUUGUCCUCUUCUUAAGGGCAAAAUUGAAAUUUCAUGUGUGACAGUGAUUGCCACGUCAUCAAAUUAGUGACGUGGCAGUGAUUAAUUUGGUCCAAGGACCAAAUUUUAAACGAUUAACAAUUGCAGGGUUAAAAUGCCAGGAUUACCAAUUACAGGGACGAAUUUUUAAAUGCCGCCUAAUUGCAAGGGCUAAACACAUCAAUAAACCAAGAUUUUAUUCAUAUUGCAGUGGAAUUGCUUAUAUUAAAAUGAGAUGAGAUUUAGUUGAUUUUUUAAUUAAAAAUUUAAAUAGUAUUAUUCAAUACAAAAGAUAAACUUGUAAUUAAAAUAGUUUAACCGAAUGGUAUAAUUAGAAGAUAAAAACUCAGUCCAAAAUCUUGUACCCCCUUCACAUAGAGGUAUAGAUAGGUAUAUAUACCACAAUUAAAUAAAGAUUCAACGUGUCAUGUUUCUAUUAUAGUGAAAUUGUUCAUAUUAUACCGAGAUUUAACCAACUUUUCUAAUUAAAGGUUUAAAUAAUAUUUAAAAAAAAGUAAAAUUGUAAUAAGAAUAGUUAAUGAAGGGCACAACUGAAUGAUAAAAAGUCAUCCUAAAAUCAUAUUUCUUCUUUAUAUAUAUAUAUAUAUAUAUAUAUAUAUAUAUAUAUAUAUAUAUAUAUAUAUAUAUAUAUUGUACAACAGAAACUUGUGUUUAAAAUAAUUUUCAUUAUAAUAAGAUUUUACAUUUUUUUAAAUGUAAUUUAUUUCUUUGCUAAAAAAGUUAUUUAUUUCUCAUUAUUAACAAACUGCCAAGAUUGUGUGACACAAAUAAUAAAUAUUUUGGUCCCUUGACCAUUAGGUCCAUUGCACGGAAGAUGCCUUUUUUGAUUUACCAAAAAAUGAUUAGCAAGCUCGUUGGAAAUCCUUAAAUAUAAUUAUUUUAUAAAAAAAUCUCAAAUUAAAAAGUUCUUAUUUGAGCUAAUUAGCCAUACUUAUACGACUCACAUUGGUUAUUCACUUGAGUGAGUGUUUUUUUUCUGCAAAACAUUCAAGUGAGUGUUGGGGACCUGACCAAUAGCAAAAUAAAAAUAAAAAAACACAUAAAUAUUAUAUAAAUAUGACAUUGAUUAAUGUAAUCUUAUAAUUGAUAUUUACUAAUUCUAUUUAAAAGUUUAUUAUGUUCCAUUUAUUUCUCUUAAAAUCGCAAGCUCUCCCCCAAAAAACAUCUCCUCCACUUAAGAUCAAUCCACCUAAAUUUCUCUCCGAGAGUCAUUUUAAUCACUUUUACUUCUUAUUGAAUAGAAACCUAAAACAUCAUGAGAAAACAAAUUCUUAAAAGAAUAUCUCAAUUAAUGAUUAUUUUAAAAAUAUGUAGAUCAACCAUCUCUAAUAUUCUUGAAGUUAUUAUCGGAUAAAGAACAAUAGAUUCUGGUUGACAUGUUCCCGAUAAGAAGAUCUACUCUCAUCAGUUUGAGAAAAUGGGGCAUUCUUAAGGAACAUAAAACAAUUAUCAAUGAUUUUCCAAAUUUUAGGAUCAAUUUAUUAGGAUACAAGUUAAUAUGGUGGCUUUGCUGCUUAGAAAAGGCUUCCACAUUUUAUCUCAACUCCAACACUGCUUACGAUGUUCAAUAUGAUCUCCCUAUCCUUAAAAAAAAGAAUAUAAUAAAUAAUUAUGAGUGUUUUUUCCUUUUCGGUUAGGGAAUAAAUUUCUCUUUUAAACGAUUCUAUAUUAAAAAAGAGAGCUAUACAACUGCACAUAUAGACCAUUAUUUUUUCAUAUAUCUUAUUAAUUUCUUAUUUUGCGAUAAAGUUUGUAGCAAUUGUAGAAACAAGAAAAGAUUUGGGACAAUAUCGAAAACUAGUCAUGAAAGAUGAAGACAUGCGAAAAGAAAUUCAAGGGCUUCUUUACACCGAGACGAAAAAGAAUCUCAAGACUCCAAAGCAGUGUUUCAAAGGUUUUAAACAUGAUUGUGAAGAGCCAUUUGUAAUAGACACACAAGUCACCAUAGAAAAUGACAUCAUCCGUGCUAAGAGAAAGAAGGGAGUCACUAAAAAUUUUGAACCAAGACCAAAUGUUUCAAAAUAUGAAGAUAAUGACAUUAAUGCUGAGGAAAAGAAGAGAGUCGUCAAAGACUUUGAACCAAGACCUAAUGUUUCAGCUUAUGGAGCAAAUGAAAUUGAUGCUAAGGAUAAGAAGGGAGUUAUUGAUGAUUUUGAACCAAGACCCAAUGUUUCAGCUUAUGGAGACAAUGACGUUGAAGCUAAGAAAAAGAAGGGAAUCACUGAAGAUUUUGAACCAAGAUACAAUGUUUCAGCAUAUGGAGACAAUGGUGUAGAAGUUAAGGGAAAGAAGAAAGUCGUUAAAGAUUUCAAACCAAGACCAAAUGUUUCAGCUUAUGGAGACAAUGGUAUUGAUGUUAAGGAAAAUAAAGGAGCCAAUACGGAUUUUGAACCAAGACCAAAUUACGUUUCAGCAUAUGGAGACAAUAAUAUUGAUGUUACAGAAAAUAAAGGAGCCAAUAAAGAUUUUGAACCAAGACCCAAUGUUUCUGCUUAUGGAGAUAGU